GACGAACGCUGGCGGCGUGCUUAACACAUGCAAGUCGAACGCUGAAGCUCAGCUUGCUGGGUGGAUGAGUGGCGAACGGGUGAGUAACACGUGAGUAACCUGCCCUCUUCUUUGGGAUAACGCCCGGAAACGGGUGCUAAUACUGGAUAUUCACUGAUUCUCGCAUGGGGGUUGGUGGAAAGGUUUUUUCUGGUGGGGGAUGGGCUCGCGGCCUAUCAGCUUGUUGGUGGGGUGAUGGCCUACCAAGGCUUUGACGGGUAGCCGGCCUGGGAGGGUGACCGGUCACCUUGGGACUGAGCUACGGCCCAGACUCCUACGGGAGGCAGCAGUGGGGAAGAUUGCACAAUGGGCGAAAGCCAGAUGCAGCGACGCCGCGUGAGGGAUGGAGGCCUUCGGGUUGCAAACCUCUUUCGCUCAUGGUCAAGCCGCAGCUUGGGGUUGUGGUGAGGGUAGUGGGUAAAGAAGCGCCGGCUAACUACGUG
Molecule: ribosomal RNA, 482 nt
Filed under: uncultured bacterium
Lineage: Bacteria
Description: partial 16S ribosomal RNA
Rfam family: Bacterial small subunit ribosomal RNA
Source: RNAcentral